This is a long non-coding RNA of Rhincodon typus (whale shark), 564 nucleotides long. RefSeq lists it as uncharacterized. Lineage: Eukaryota; Metazoa; Chordata; Chondrichthyes; Orectolobiformes; Rhincodontidae. The transcript is spliced from 3 exons. The record is from RefSeq and is a predicted model, not a curated record.
GGUUGGAUUUGUUCAUCUUUUUGUAUACAGUACAUAUCUAUGCAAUUUUCCAUAUUGUUUGGUAAAUGCCAGUGUUAUAACCAUAAUGGAAUAGCUUGGCUAGGUGAGAGGCAAAUUCUGGAGAACAAGUCUUUAGUACUAUUGCCGGAAUGUUGUCAGAGCCCAUUACUAUCACGGUAUCCAGUGCCUCAAUCAUUUCUUGAUAUCAUGUGGAAUAAAUCAAAUUGGCUGAAGACUGGCAUCUGGACCAGAUUAUGACACUAGAAAUAUCACUUUUUUUCACUUUACUGAUUGGCCAAACCCUUUAAGGCAAAAUUGUAUGAAUAGAAAUCAAUUGAUAUUUAAAAUUUAGAACAUGAGUCUUCACUGAUAACAGCCUGGCACUGCUGCUUAUGUUUUCCUCCCAGGUUCCGAUGAUUCUGGUUGGCAAUAAAUGUGACUUGGAAGAUGAGCGAGUAGUGGGCAAAGAACAGGGCCAGAACCUAGCAAGACAAUGGAACAACUGUGCCUUUUUAGAGUCUUCUGCAAAGUCAAAGAUCAACGUUAAUGAGAUCUUUUAUGAUU